CUGACCAUAGGGAUCGAGGCCACCUAGCACCUUCUCCUAAAGGGUCUAUUCUGAGUUGAAUACUUUCCCAGUAUCUGUGAAAGAAGAACAUGAGCUAUGGCUAUUGGCUUGCUCCAUUUUUAGCAUUAAAAAACAUGUCACCUUCUUGUCAGUGAAUACUGUUUGUAAGCAAUGUGUGCCUUAUCCUGUAAUCAAAGACAUGUCGCCUGCGAUGAAGAUGUGACUUCCAAGCACCAACGAAUCUUCAAGUGCAGGAAUGUUUGAAAAUUUUCUAUUUAUUUUCAAACACGGAAAUUUUAGUCAGAACAGCUUUUAUUUUUAUUUUUUUGGAUGGUGAAUAAUUUGCAAGAUGAUAGGAAAAUGGAUUUUCCUUGACUUCAGAUACAUCAGAUGAGAGAAAAUUGCAAAGAGCAUAAUGUUGAAGAUAGCUAAACUUUAUUGAUAAAUCAAUGAGAUAAAUUUUA
Long non-coding RNA from Populus euphratica (Euphrates poplar), 464 nucleotides. RefSeq lists it as uncharacterized. NCBI's taxonomy places the organism in Eukaryota, Viridiplantae, Streptophyta, Magnoliopsida, Malpighiales, Salicaceae. The record is from RefSeq and is a predicted model, not a curated record. The transcript is spliced from 2 exons.